RNAcentral lists this non-coding RNA (29 nucleotides) under Mus musculus (house mouse). The record is from RNAcentral. Lineage: Eukaryota; Metazoa; Chordata; Mammalia; Rodentia; Muridae.
UCUCAAAUAGAAAUCUCUUUGCCUGUGAU